Molecule: ribosomal RNA, 253 nt
Filed under: uncultured bacterium
Lineage: Bacteria
Description: partial 16S ribosomal RNA
Rfam family: Bacterial small subunit ribosomal RNA
Source: RNAcentral
UACAGAGGUCCCGAGCGUUGUUCGGAUUCACUGGGCGUAAAGGGUGCGUAGGUGGUGAGGUAAGUCGGGUGUGAAAUCUCCAAGCUCAACUUGGAAAUGGCAUUGGAAACUACCUUGCUGGAGGUUUGGAGGGGGGACUGGAAUUCUCGGUGUAGCAGUGAAAUGCGUAGAUAUCGAGAGGAACACCAGUGGCGAAGGCGGCAUCCUGGACCGACACUGACACUGAGGAGCGAAAGCCAGGGGAGCAAACGGG